RNAcentral lists this ribosomal RNA (644 nucleotides) under uncultured bacterium. RNAcentral describes it as "bacterial SSU rRNA". It matches the Rfam family "Bacterial small subunit ribosomal RNA", at positions 8 to 659 of the family's 1533-position model. The record is from RNAcentral.
AGAGUUUGAUCCUGGCUCAGGACGAACGCUGGCGGCGUGCUUAACACAUGCAAGUCGAGCGAAGCGCAUAGAUUAGCUUGCUAAUUUUUGUGACUGAGCGGCGAACGGGUGAGUAACACGUGGGUAAUCUGCCUGGAAGCCUGGGAUAACAGUUGGAAACGGCUGCUAAUACCGGAUAACAUUUAAGCUGUAGAGGCUUAAAUCAAAGCGUUAUGUAGCGCUUUCAGAUGAGCCCGCGUCCCAUUAGUUAGUUGGUGGGGUAAAGGCCUACCAAGGCGACGAUGGGUAGCCGGUCUGAGAGGAUGGUCGGCCACACUGGGACUGAGACACGGCCCAGACUCCUACGGGAGGCAGCAGUGGGGAAUUUUGCGCAAUGGGGGCAACCCUGACGCAGCGACGCCGCGUGAGCGAAGAAAGCCUUCGGGUUGUAAAGCUCUGUCUAGGGGGAAGAUAGUGACGGUACCCCUGGAGGAAGCCCCGGCUAACUACGUGCCAGCAGCCGCGGUAAGACGUAGGGGGCGAGCGUUGUCCGGAAUUACUGGGCGUAAAGGGCGUGUAGGCGGCUUUUUAAGUCAGCUGUGAAAUUCCCCGGCUCAACCGGGGGCCUGCAGUUGAAACUAGAAGGCUUGAGUGCAGGAGAGGAG